GAUGAACGCUGGCGGCGUGCCUAAUACAUGCAAGUCGAGCGAACAGACGAGGAGCUUGCUCCUCUGACGUUAGCGGCGGACGGGUGAGUAACACGUGGAUAACCUACCUAUAAGACUGGGAUAACUUCGGGAAACCGGAGCUAAUACCGGAUAAUAUAUUGAACCGCAUGGUUCAAUAGUGAAAGACGGUUUUGCUGUCACUUAUAGAUGGAUCCGCGCCGCAUUAGCUAGUUGGUAAGGUAACGGCUUACCAAGGCAACGAUGCGUAGCCGACCUGAGAGGGUGAUCGGCCACACUGGAACUGAGACACGGUCCAGACUCCUACGGGAGGCAGCAGUAGGGAAUCUUCCGCAAUGGGCGAAAGCCUGACGGAGCAACGCCGCGUGAGUGAUGAAGGUCUUCGGAUCGUAAAACUCUGUUAUUAGGGAAGAACAAAUGUGUAAGUAACUAUGCACUUCUUGACGGUACCUAAUCAGAAAGCCACGGCUAACUACGUG
This 497-nucleotide ribosomal RNA is filed under the name uncultured bacterium. Its description in RNAcentral is "partial 16S ribosomal RNA". It matches the Rfam family "Bacterial small subunit ribosomal RNA", at positions 28 to 507 of the family's 1533-position model. The record is from RNAcentral.